This is a small nucleolar RNA of Lepisosteus oculatus (spotted gar), 169 nucleotides long. Ensembl annotates it as small Cajal body-specific RNA 16. Its record names the gene SCARNA16. The record is from Ensembl. NCBI's taxonomy places the organism in Eukaryota, Metazoa, Chordata, Actinopteri, Semionotiformes, Lepisosteidae.
UUGGUCUGGGGAAAUGGCUACUGUGUUGCUGGCCCUGUUUGUCAGGGUUAGCCAUGUAUACUGUAGCCUGCCCCUGACCUAGAUUAUACCAGGGUAGUGUACUCUGGCAGUAGCAGGUGUGAGCAUGCAGUCAGCUCUUUGAUGCUCAUGUAUAAUACUGCACACACUA